CUGUAAUCCGCUUCUCAGUGGUCUUACGUGCUCCCAACUAGCGCUGUUACAGUCCAUAAUGAAUGCGCGGCGAGGCUCAUCUUCCUGUCCGCCCGCACCUCCCAUGCCUCACCCUUCUGUCAGUCCCUACAUUGGCUUCCUAUAAAAUAUAGAGCUCAAUUGAAAAUUUUGGUUCUUGCUUUCAAAUCUCUACAUAAUGCUGCUCCCACCUAUCUAUCCUCCCUUAUACACAAGUAUAUCCCAUCUAGGCCCUUACGAUCUGCUGAAGACUUACGUCUAUCUUCUGUCCGUACUCCCACCUCUGAUGCUCGCCUUCAAGAUUUCGCCUUCAAGAUUUCUCGAGGGCUGCACCGUUCCUCCUCCGUUAGAUGCUCACCCAGUCUCCACUCCUUCAAAAAAUCGUUAAAAACCCACUUCUUCAUAAAAGCGUACCAAUUAAACUGUUAAUAGCUCCUGACUGAUUCCUCUUCUGCAACUGUCACUAGUCUAAUACUAUCCUUACCUUUUUCUGUCAUUUUACCUCACUCCCUCUAGCAUGUAAGCUCAUUGAGCAGGGCCAUCAACCCCUCUGUUCCUGUGUGUCCAACUUGUCUGGUUACAACUACAUGUCUGUUCGUCCACCCAUUGUAAAGCCCUGCGAAAUUUGACGGCGCU
Molecule: non-coding RNA, 654 nt
Organism: Pelobates cultripes (western spadefoot toad)
Lineage: Eukaryota; Metazoa; Chordata; Amphibia; Anura; Pelobatidae
Source: the annotation of a GenBank genome assembly